CACAGGGUUAUAAAACAACACAUUCCUGCAGAGGGAGCUGGUAGGAACGUUGGGUUGCUCGGUCAAUGGCCAGGGUCAACGGCGGUGUGGUGUAUUCUGCAAAUAUGGCCGACUGUGAGGGCGGGCACAAGCUGGCAUGAGCCAUCCAACUUCAAACAGAAUCUACUCCUUCCCAACAACAUGGACAGCCAAAUCAAGUGGGCUGAGAUCUUGGAUGACUGAGGGAAUCGUCGUGCCAGUCGACCACGUGCAGGGACAUGGAUAAGGUGGACCCUUUCCCAGGCCAAAGUUGCUACAAGCAUCACUCCCCAAAGAGGAUAUUUGGGGAGGUGAAGGACUUCAGCGGGGUGAAGCGUCUCAAGGAGGAGAAGGACCUUGCCACGGAGAAACGCCUCGUGGUAGAGGAGCACCUCUUUGAAAUGCAGCGCCUUGCCAGGGUGGAGUGCCGCACAGAGGAGAAGUGCCUCAGAGACGAUCUCCACCAGCAGCGCCUCAUUAAAGUGAAGUGCUUCACGGAUGAGAAGCGUCUUGUUCUCCCCGUGGCCGCAUGGAUUUUUCUCUGGGUCCUUCGGUUUUUCCCUCCACAUUCAGAAACAUGUGUUUAAGAGUAUUUGGCUGCUAUAAAUUUCUGCGUAACAAGCCAAUUCAUGGGUAUUUCAUUUGUGGCCAGG
Long non-coding RNA from Lethenteron reissneri (Far Eastern brook lamprey), 671 nucleotides. RefSeq lists it as uncharacterized. The record is from RefSeq and is a predicted model, not a curated record. Lineage: Eukaryota; Metazoa; Chordata; Hyperoartia; Petromyzontiformes; Petromyzontidae.